UACGUAGGCAGCGAGCGUUGUUCGGAAUUAUUGGGCGUAAAGAGUGUGUAGGCGGUGCUCCAAGUCUGUCGUGAAAUCUCCCGGCUUAACCGGGAGGGUGCGGCGGAAACUGGAGUGCUAGAGGGUGGGAGAGGAAAGCGGAAUUCCCGGUGUAGCGGUGAAAUGCGUAGAGAUCGGGAGGAACACCGGCGGCGAAGGCGGCUGCCUGGACCGGCCCUGACGCUGAGGCGCGAAAGCUAGGGGAGCAAACAGG
RNAcentral lists this ribosomal RNA (253 nucleotides) under uncultured bacterium. RNAcentral describes it as "partial 16S ribosomal RNA". It matches the Rfam family "Bacterial small subunit ribosomal RNA", at positions 524 to 776 of the family's 1533-position model. The record is from RNAcentral.